UGAGGAAUAUUGGUCAAUGGGCGAGAGCCUGAACCAGCCAAGUCGCGUGAGGGAAGACGGUCCUAUGGAUUGUAAACCUCUUUUGUCGGGGAGCAAGAAAGGGUAUGUAUACCCUACUGAGAGUACCCGAAGAAAAAAGCAUCGGCUAACUCCGUGCCAGCAGCCGCGGUAAUACGGAGGAUGCGAGCGUUAUCCGGAUUUAUUGGGUUUAAAGGGUGCGCAGGCGGACUGUUAAAGUCAGCGGGUAAAAAUUGCGGGGCUCAACCCCGUCGAGCCGUUGAAACUGGCGGUCUUGAGUGGGCGAGAAGUAUGCGGAAUGCGUGGUGUAGCGGUGAAAUGCAUAGAUAUCACGCAGAACUCCGAUUGCGAAGGCAGCAUACCGGCGCCCGACUGACGCUCAUGCACGAAAAGCGUGGGUAUCGAACAGGAUUAGAUACC
This 438-nucleotide ribosomal RNA is filed under the name uncultured bacterium. Its description in RNAcentral is "bacterial SSU rRNA". It matches the Rfam family "Bacterial small subunit ribosomal RNA", at positions 355 to 786 of the family's 1533-position model. The record is from RNAcentral.